UGCCUUGCCAACGACACUUUGGACCUCACCACUCGAUUUCGAUUGUCAGUAUGUCUAACUAAAUGCUUCGAUCCAGCUUAAAAGCAGACACUCCGUUCUCGCUGAGUUUAUAGAAUGGUGAAUAUGUACUGCGGCAAUGUCUACGCUCGGGUAGGCAAUGUAGUGGCAUAUUUAGGAUGCCUAUGCAGAAUUAUACCUCAGUCCGGGUGUGACGGUUAAUUUCAUAAAGGCUGCAAUAAUCCACUACUGCGUACGCCUUAACAUCAAAUCGGUUGUGGCUUAGGUGAGGACGCCAGUCGUACUGCUACUCUCGUGUUGUAUUUUGAGGACGUAGUGAUGGCGGGAUAAAAUGAAGGACGUAAGGAGAAGAGCUCCAGUCAACACGAGAUCGCGCUUCGGAUUGGAGUGAGGGAUUGAGGAGCUAGAGGAUGUAACUGGUUACCUGGCCGCAACCUGAGCUGCCUUUCCCCGCAUUCAGGAGAAGGUGGAACGAUGGAAAGGGACCACGCCACAGUGUCUACAUAUGGAUUUUCGGCGUAGCAAAUUUCAACAACGUUUGAUCGGAGUA
This 568-nucleotide long non-coding RNA is filed under the name Varroa destructor (honeybee mite). Its description in RNAcentral is "uncharacterized LOC111242908, transcript variant X1". The record is from RNAcentral. Lineage: Eukaryota; Metazoa; Arthropoda; Arachnida; Mesostigmata; Varroidae.